This 74-nucleotide transfer RNA is filed under the name Spinacia oleracea (spinach). It matches the Rfam family "tRNA". From Rfam's summary of the family: Transfer RNA (tRNA) molecules are approximately 80 nucleotides in length. Their secondary structure includes four short double-helical elements and three loops (D, anti-codon, and T loops). The record is from Rfam by way of RNAcentral. Lineage: Eukaryota; Viridiplantae; Streptophyta; Magnoliopsida; Caryophyllales; Amaranthaceae.
GGGCCUGUAGCUCAAAGGAUUAAAGCACGUGGCUACGAACCACGGUACCGGAGGUUGGAAUCCCUCCAUGCUCA